AGUGAACGCUGGCGGUAGGCCUAACACAUGCAAGUCGAACGGCAGCACAGUAAGAGCUUGCUCUUACGGGUGGCGAGUGGCGGACGAGUGAGGAAUACAUCGGAAUCUACUUUUUCGUGGGGGAUAACGUAGGGAAACUUACGCUAAUACCGCAUACGACCUACGGGUUAAAGCAGGGGAUCUUCGGACCUUGCGCGAUUGAAUGAGCCGAUGUCGGAUUAGCUAGUUGGCGGGGUAAAGGCCCACCAAGGCGACGAUCCGUAGCUGGUCUGAGAGGAUGAUCAGCCACACUGGAACUGAGACACGGUCCAGACUCCUACGGGAGGCAGCAGUGGGGAAUAUUGGACAAUGGGCGCAAGCCUGAUCCAGCCAUACCGCGUGGGUGAAGAAGGCCUUCGGGUUGUAAAGCCCUUUUGUUGGGAAAGAAAAGAAGCAGGUUAAUACCCCGCUGUUCUGACGGUACCCAAAGAAUAAGCACCGGCUAACUUCGUG
RNAcentral lists this ribosomal RNA (492 nucleotides) under uncultured bacterium. RNAcentral describes it as "partial 16S ribosomal RNA". It matches the Rfam family "Bacterial small subunit ribosomal RNA", at positions 29 to 507 of the family's 1533-position model. The record is from RNAcentral.